GACGAACGCUGGCGGCGUGCUUAACACAUGCAAGUCGAACGAUGAACCCGGAGCUUGCUCUGGGGGAUUAGUGGCGAACGGGUGAGUAACACGUGAGUAACCUGCCCUGGACUCUGGGAUAAGCGUUGGAAACGACGUCUAAUACCGGAUAGGACCUUGGAUCGCAUGAUCUGGGGUGGAAAGUUUUUUCGGUCUGGGAUGGACUCGCGGCCUAUCAGCUUGUUGGUGAGGUAAUGGCUCACCAAGGCGUCGACGGGUAGCCGGCCUGAGAGGGUGACCGGCCACACUGGGACUGAGACACGGCCCAGACUCCUACGGGAGGCAGCAGUGGGGAAUAUUGCACAAUGGGCGAAAGCCUGAUGCAGCAACGCCGCGUGCGGGAUGACGGCCUUCGGGUUGUAAACCGCUUUUAGUAGGGAAGAAGGGCUUCGGCUUGACGGUACCCGCAGAAAAAGGACCGGCUAACUACGUG
RNAcentral lists this ribosomal RNA (472 nucleotides) under uncultured bacterium. RNAcentral describes it as "partial 16S ribosomal RNA". It matches the Rfam family "Bacterial small subunit ribosomal RNA", at positions 28 to 507 of the family's 1533-position model. The record is from RNAcentral.